Molecule: ribosomal RNA, 305 nt
Filed under: uncultured bacterium
Lineage: Bacteria
Description: partial 16S ribosomal RNA
Rfam family: Bacterial small subunit ribosomal RNA
Source: RNAcentral
ACAGCAGCAGCCACGGUAAUACGAGGGGGGCAAGCGUUGUUCGGAAUUAUUGGGCGUAAAGGGUGCGUAGGCGGCUUGACAAGUCUUGUGUGAAAUCUAUGGGCUCAACCCAUAGUCUGCACGGGAAACUGUCGGGCUUGAGAAUGGGAGAGGUGAGUGGAAUUUCCGGUGUAGCGGUGAAACGCGUAGAUAUCGGAAGGAACACCUGUGGCGAAAGCGGCUCACUGGACCAUUUCUGACGCUGAUGCACGAAAGCUAGGGGAGCAAACAGGAUUAGAUACCCCAGUAGUCCCUGUCUCUUAUAC